Molecule: long non-coding RNA, 205 nt
Filed under: Elaeis guineensis (African oil palm)
Lineage: Eukaryota; Viridiplantae; Streptophyta; Magnoliopsida; Arecales; Arecaceae
Description: long non-coding RNA (EGUI_LNC028281)
Source: RNAcentral
GAGAGGUGUGGAAAGAGGAGGGUAGAGGGGGUGGCAUAGUUCGAAGGUCUAGAGGUUGGAGGCAUCUAAUGGUAUUGAGGAGUGCUAAGGACUAGAGGAAGAGGGCGAAGGUGAGGCGACAGCAGAAGAGAGAGAGGUGGUGGGCAGCGAGGAGAAGGAGGUCGGUGGCAACGAUAGAGAGGCAUUGGAAGAGGGCAGAGGGGGC